This 253-nucleotide ribosomal RNA is filed under the name uncultured bacterium. RNAcentral describes it as "partial 16S ribosomal RNA". It matches the Rfam family "Bacterial small subunit ribosomal RNA", at positions 524 to 776 of the family's 1533-position model. The record is from RNAcentral.
UACGAAGGGGGCUAGCGUUGUUCGGAAUCACUGGGCGUAAAGGGCGCGUAGGCGGCGUGUCAAGUCAGGCGUGAAAGCCCCGGGCUCAACCUGGGAACCGCGCUUGAGACUGGCAUGCUCGAGUUCGGGAGAGGAUGGUGGAAUUCCCAGUGUAGAGGUGAAAUUCGUAGAUAUUGGGAAGAACACCGAUGGCGAAGGCAGCCAUCUGGACCGACACUGACGCUGAGGCGCGAAAGCGUGGGGAGCAAACAGG